RNAcentral lists this ribosomal RNA (216 nucleotides) under Glomeromycotina sp. RNAcentral's name for it is "partial small subunit ribosomal RNA". The stretch from base 40 to 216 matches the Rfam family "Eukaryotic small subunit ribosomal RNA", at positions 686 to 864 of the family's 1831-position model. Lineage: Eukaryota; Fungi; Glomeromycota. The record is from RNAcentral.
GGGUCAGUAGGUUGGUCGUGCCACCGGUACGUACUGGUCUCACUGAUUCCUCCUUCCUCAAGAACCGUAAUGCCAUUAAUUUGGUGUUGCGGGGAAACAGGACUGUUACUCUGAAAAAAUUAGAGUGUUUAAAGCAAGCUAACGCUUGAAUACAUUAGCAUGGAAUAAUGAAAUAGGGCGAUCGAUCCUAUUUUGUUGGUUUCUAGGAUUGACGUA